This 684-nucleotide long non-coding RNA is filed under the name Hordeum vulgare. RNAcentral describes it as "long non-coding RNA (HVUL_LNC018311)". The record is from RNAcentral. Lineage: Eukaryota; Viridiplantae; Streptophyta; Magnoliopsida; Poales; Poaceae.
GCGUGAGUAGUUCAUAUCAGACAUACGGGUUCGUAGGUAGUAGUUAGAUCGCUUUCUCUCUCAUUUUGUUUCUCAAUACAAUGGUCUCUUGGAGAUCCAUAUGAUGUAACUCUUUCUUUUGCGGUGUGUUUGUUGGGAUCCGAUGAAUUGUGAGUUUAGGAUCAGAUCUAUGAAAAUAUAUUCAUGCUUGAUUAUUAUAGCUUCGUAUUUCUUCUCUGAUAUUUGUUUGUUGUGUGGACAACUAGAUCUUUUAUCCUACAAUGGGAAGAGGUGCUUUGUGAUGGGUUUGAUCUUCCAGUGCUUAAUGUCAGUGGAAGAAAGAGACAUGACACGCAUGUAUCGUUGCUAUCAAGGAUAAAACGAUGGGGUUUAUUCCUGCAUGAAUAGAUCUUGUCUACAUCAUGUCAUCAUUCUUAAUGCAUUACUUCGCUUCUCCAUGAACUCAAUACACUAGAUGCAUGCUCGAUAGCAAACGAUGUGUGGAAUAAUAGAAGUAGAUGCAGGCAGAAAUCAGUCUACUUAUCUUGGACGUGAUGCCUAUAUACAUGAUCAUUGUCUUGAAUAUCGUCAUAAUUAUUUGCUCUUCUAUCAAUUGCCCAAUAGUAAUUUGUCAACCCACCGUUUGCUAUUUCUCGAGAGAAGCUACUAGUGAAACCUGCGCCCCCGGGGUCUACUGUACAUCAU